Molecule: transfer RNA, 69 nt
Filed under: Cnemaspis pemanggilensis
Lineage: Eukaryota; Metazoa; Chordata; Lepidosauria; Squamata; Gekkonidae
Description: tRNA-Ala
Rfam family: tRNA
About the family: Transfer RNA (tRNA) molecules are approximately 80 nucleotides in length. Their secondary structure includes four short double-helical elements and three loops (D, anti-codon, and T loops).
Source: RNAcentral
GAGGUUUUAGCUUAAUUAAAGUGCUUGAGUUGCAAUCAGGUGAUGCNAGUUAGAGUUUUGCAGGCCUUC